This 530-nucleotide ribosomal RNA is filed under the name uncultured bacterium. RNAcentral's name for it is "bacterial SSU rRNA". It matches the Rfam family "Bacterial small subunit ribosomal RNA", at positions 777 to 1304 of the family's 1533-position model. The record is from RNAcentral.
AAUAGAUACCCUGGUAGUCCACGCUGUAAACGGUGGGUACUAGGUGUGGGGUCCAUUCCACGGGUUCCGUGCCGUAGCUAACGCUUUAAGUACCCCGCCUGGGGAGUACGGCCCCAAGGCUAAAACUCAAAGGAAUUGACGGGGCCCCGCACAAGCGGCGGAGCAUGCGGAUUAAUUCGAUGCAACGCGUAGAACCUUACCUGGGUUUGACAUGGAUCGGGAGCGCUCAGAGGUGGGUGUGCCUCUUUUGGGGUCGGUUCACAGGUGGUGCAUGGCUGUCGUCAGCUCGUGUCGUGAGAUGUUAGGUUAAGUCCCGCAACGAGCGCAACCCUUGUUCACUGUUGCCAGCACGUUAUGGUGGGGACUCAGUGGAGACCGCCGGGGUCAACUCGGAGGAAGUGGGGAUGACGUCAAGUCAUCAUGCCCCUUAUGUCCAGGGCUUCACGCAUGCUACAAUGGCUGGUACAGAGAGUGGCGAGCCUGUGAGGGUGAGCGAAUCUCGGAAAGCCGGUCUCAGUUCGGAUUGGGGU